Papaver somniferum (opium poppy) is the source of this 1637-nucleotide long non-coding RNA. RefSeq lists it as uncharacterized. Lineage: Eukaryota; Viridiplantae; Streptophyta; Magnoliopsida; Ranunculales; Papaveraceae. The transcript is spliced from 7 exons. The record is from RefSeq and is a predicted model, not a curated record.
UUGUGGUGUGUUCUUCUUUAGUAUCCAAAAUCCAAUUAUCUUUCUUCCCACUUUGCUAAGACCAGUUCCGAGCUGAGGGUUUGAAGAGGAAGUUGCCUCAGAUUCAGAUCUCUAAUCUCUAUAAACUACAACUCAGAAGAGUGUUUAUUAACUGGUAUUCGUACUUGGUUUGAGCGGACUCAGAAAAAUACUAUAAGACUCAUGAUGAAAGCAUCAUCGGAGUCGAUUAACGAGCACUUGCUUACCAAAACAAUUAGAGGCAUGCAGAAUUCACAUCUAAUAGAGUACUCUACAUAGUGGGACGAUAACUGCAUAACCUAACUCACAGAUAAUUACUUUCUCAACUUCUUUCUUAAACCUGCUGGUAGGUUAUAUUGUAUAAAUGUUAGAUGUUUGAAAUGAUUAUUUCAGCUGUUCAUUUGUUGUGGAGUUCAUUCUUUUAGGACAUUGGAUUGUGUGUGUUGGAGAUGGUGGUGUGCAGAAGCUUUUAACCUUUCGAGUGUGAGGAUAGUUGAAUCCAGUCAGCAUAUGAAGAAAUUUUGGGGGUGAAUGUGAAGAUGAAUUUCUGAAGGGUGUUGGUUUGCAGUGUUACCAUCUUCACUGGGGUGUUAAAACACUUACGGCAUCUUAACUGAAAUCCAUCAAUUUAUGGAGGAAAUGGUUCUUUGAAAAACAAAGGUAUCUCGACAUCUCAUAUACUAAAGGUUAUUUUCAUUCAAUGUGGGCAAGUCAGUUGGUGCUGGAACAGUGGAACCCCUGUAACCUCAUUGGUGACUUGAGUCACUAAUAUAUGAAGCAGAAGCAAAUUACCAAUCAGCAAAUAUUUGCUACUGGUGAAGCAAUGAUAAGGAAAAGCUUUUUUCAGCAUUGCAGUGGUUACAAAACGCAACAAAAAGCUAACAGAUGGUGUAAUUGGUGAAGUUUUAUGAUCUGCGCAGGAAGCUAUCAUUUUGCCUCUGUGGGUUGCACAUGCUGCUCGUGCUUGGAGUUUGAGAUUAUAUACGCUGCAAUGUGGAUGCCAUGGCUGGUGAAGUGUUGACUGCUUCUGAGUGUGUGCAAUUCAGAAAAGAACUUGUGAAUAGAAAGGCCAAUGGAACUUCAUGCUUGAGUUGGACUUUGUGUCGUUCAAUGCUUAAUUUCCUCGCCCCGCACUAUCAAAAUCCAUUGGCAAUGGUGUGGACCGACACCUUUCUGCGAAAAUGUCUCAUGACAGAGAUAGCAUGCACCCCUUACUUGAUAUGCUCAAAGCACACAACUACCGUCAAAAGGUGUUAGGAGGAUGGCAAAAGCAUAAGUAUCUUCAAUAAACUGUUUUUCACAGAUUCAGUUAGAUGAAUUCUUCUCUAGAACCGCUGCAAGGAUUCUGGCUGUAGAUAUGCCUCCGUUUAUGCAAACCCAGGCUGUUUGGUCGCGCUUCUAAUGCUUACAAUGACCGAGACAACUCCACAGGCACUUGCUUACCCUCAAGAAGGAGUUUGAUGAAGAGUAUGGAGCCGCAUGUUGGAACAAGUUUUGGGUCAUUUGUAACUCGCUCUGUUGGAGGCUUUUUUGUACUUCUCAUUACACUAUUGUAGUAGUAGGACAACAAUAAAUUUUUUUGCUCGAUUUCCCAAACAAAGUCUGUCUCCUGAGUUUUU